RNAcentral lists this ribosomal RNA (447 nucleotides) under uncultured bacterium. RNAcentral's name for it is "bacterial SSU rRNA". It matches the Rfam family "Bacterial small subunit ribosomal RNA", at positions 329 to 792 of the family's 1533-position model. The record is from RNAcentral.
GCCCAGACUCCUACGGGAGGCAGCAGUGGGGAAUAUUGCACAAUGGGGGGAACCCUGAUGCAGCGACGCCGCGUGGGUGAAGGAGUAUUUCGGUAUGUAAAGCCCUAUCAGCAGGGAAGAACAAUGACGGUACCUGACUAAGAAGCACCGGCUAAAUACGUGCCAGCAGCCGCGGUAAUACGUAUGGUGCAAGCGUUAUCCGGAUUCACUGGGUGUAAAGGGAGUGUAGACGGCGACGCAAGUCUGGAGUGAAAGCCCGGGGCCCAACCCCGGGACUGCUCUGGAAACUGCGGCGCUGGAGUACGGGAGGGGCAGGCGGAAUUCCUGGUGUAGCGGUGAAAUGCGUAGAUAUCAGGAGGAACACCGGCGGCGAAGGCGGCCUGCUGGACCGUGACUGACGUUGAGGCUCGAGAGCGUGGGGAGCAAACAGGAUUAGAUACCCCCGUA